Molecule: long non-coding RNA, 358 nt
Filed under: Elaeis guineensis (African oil palm)
Lineage: Eukaryota; Viridiplantae; Streptophyta; Magnoliopsida; Arecales; Arecaceae
Description: long non-coding RNA (EGUI_LNC037279)
Source: RNAcentral
UGAUGCAGGAUGCUUGGGUAUCCAAUCUCCCCCUCUCACAUUGGCCCAGUUACGUCAGUAUGGGGGUGGAUGAUGGCUUGUGGGUUGUGAGCUUAUCACUGAUAACGAUAGGGAUUGCAGGUCCCAGGAUGUCAUCCACCUCUUUGGCGGUCAGUUUGCUGAUAAGAUCCUUACUAUCCCUAUUUCUAUCCAUCGAAAUCAUGAUUUAAGGUGUGGGGACAGUCAUGUUGCCCCAAAGCCCUGCCAGAGAUCUUGCUAUGAUGUACAGGCCAGCACCAGUGCGAAGGAUGGAGGCUGCUUGGAUCUAGACAGUGACGAUCUAUCUCAGGAUCAGACUCUUUCUCUGAAAGGUCACCUA